AGACAGUCAAAGAGAAAUGAUGGAGAGAUGAGAUUAUGAUGAGACGGCAAGAAAAACAUGGGGAAUUGCCUAAAACUAAUCCUCUAUUCUUCCAAGCCUGCAACAGCUUCCCUGGAGAUUGAUGAAAUCCUAAAGGGCUCCAUCUACACAGGAAUGAGUAUUCCUGGGAACAUCAGACUGGCUGUCAGAUGAGCAGGAAUUCGGCUUAGCUGAGUAUGCUUCCUCUGGGGAGGACCAAGUCCUGAUGAAGCCAACUAGAAGCAUAAUAAUUUAAAUAGAUUCCUGGUUCUGUUUUAUCAGGUGCUUGCCCUGGGAGUGUGUCUCCUGUCUUCUCCUGAUGGAGUCCUUUGCAUCUGGAUAAGCAGCCCAUGAGCAUGGAAAGAUUCCGGCUGAGCUGGCCACCUAAGCUGGUCACUUGGGUCCUCAACUUCAGGUCUAGCAUUAGAUUAUCAAAAUUACAUUGCUUUUUGUUAUUUUCUUUACCCUAAGCACAAGGUGUUGAGUUAAUCAUAUUCUUUGGCUCAUGGCGUGUUAUCAUCAUUGAUAGAUUGAUUUGUUCAUUCAUUUAUUUAUUUCUUCCUUUUGAUCCUAUGUUCCAUUUCUAUUACUCUCCUCCCCUGGCAGCUCUUCUGUGUUUAAUAUAAUCCUUUUGUUUUACAAGUAUUGCUGCUUUAUGUUGCAUCUACUUUUAAUUUAUGUAAAUUAUAGUGUCUUAUUCAUCUC
This 723-nucleotide long non-coding RNA is filed under the name Equus caballus (horse). RNAcentral's name for it is "lncRNA (ENSECAG00000054758.1)". Lineage: Eukaryota; Metazoa; Chordata; Mammalia; Perissodactyla; Equidae. The record is from RNAcentral.